Molecule: long non-coding RNA, 701 nt
Organism: Eptesicus fuscus (big brown bat)
Lineage: Eukaryota; Metazoa; Chordata; Mammalia; Chiroptera; Vespertilionidae
Exons: 4
Source: RefSeq, a predicted model, not a curated record
CCUGGCAUGGCCACCAGAGAAGGGCCCGGAAGGUCGGCAGCUGGCAAGAAUCCUGCAACCCAGCACGUGAGAAGGUUAACACACCUUGGAAAUGCCAAAGCAAUCUUCUUCUUCAGACCCUUCAGCGAUGUUGGAUGUUCUUACAUCGGCCCUCACGUGUUUAGUGCCUGGGCUGGGCUGGGCUCAGCUGGGACGGUGGACUAGAGUGCCUGCCUUAUAGCGAGAGCCCGCGAUAGCAGGUGCUCGGCCGAUCCUUACUGAAGGAAGCUCAAGUGGGUGUUGCAGACAUUUGCAAGUGUCACCCUUCUCCGGGGCGGAGCUCACCUGGCGCUGCUGGCUGGGAAGUCAGAAGUUUUAUAGGGAAGCAAGGGUAUGGGGUGCGGCGCCAGGAAGCGCAGACACAGCACACCGAGGCACCUCUCCAGACGAUGGCUUCAAUGUACAGGCGCUCAGAGGUGACCAGCCAUCCUCCCGCACUGCCCACGGAUGCCAGAGAUGCCGGGACCCAGAGGCGGCAGCCUGUUGUGACACCAUUGCCCUGGCUGGUUUGGCUCAGUGGAUGGAGCAUCGGCCUUCGGACUGGCGGGUCCCAGGUUCGAUUCCGGUCAAGGGCAUGUACCUUGGUUGCGGGCACAUACCCAGUAGGGAGUGUGUAGGAGGCAGCUGAUCGAUGUUUCUCUCUCAUCGAUGUUUCUAACUCU